GCCUAAUACAUGCAAGUAGAACGCUGAAGGAGGAGCUUGCUUCUCCGGAUGAGUUGCGAACGGGUGAGUAACGCGUAGGUAACCUGCCUGGUAGCGGGGGAUAACUAUUGGAAACGAUAGCUAAUACCGCAUAAGAGUAGAUGUUGCAUGACAUUUGCUUAAAAGGUGCAAUUGCAUCACUACCAGAUGGACCUGCGUUGUAUUAGCUAGUUGGUGGGGUAACGGCUCACCAAGGCGACGAUACAUAGCCGACCUGAGAGGGUGAUCGGCCACACUGGGACUGAGACACGGCCCAGACUCCUACGGGAGGCAGCAGUAGGGAAUCUUCGGCAAUGGACGGAAGUCUGACCGAGCAACGCCGCGUGAGUGAAGAAGGUUUUCGGAUCGUAAAGCUCUGUUGUAAGAGAAGAACGAGUGUGAGAGUGGAAAGUUCACACUGUGACGGUAUCUUACCAGAAAGGGACGGCUAACUACGUGCCAGCAGCCGCGGUAAUACGUAGGUCCCGAGCGUUGUCCGGAUUUAUUGGGCGUAAAGCGAGCGCAGGCGGUUAGAUAAGUCUGAAGUUAAAGGCUGUGGCUUAACCAUAGUACGCUUUGGAAACUGUUUAACUUGAGUGCAAGAGGGGAGAGUGGAAUUCCAUGUGUAGCGGUGAAAUGCGUAGAUAUAUGGAGGAACACCGGUGGCGAAAGCGGCUCUCUGGCU
This 703-nucleotide ribosomal RNA is filed under the name uncultured Bacilli bacterium. Its description in RNAcentral is "bacterial SSU rRNA". It matches the Rfam family "Bacterial small subunit ribosomal RNA", at positions 46 to 734 of the family's 1533-position model. Lineage: Bacteria; Bacillati; Bacillota; Bacilli. The record is from RNAcentral.